GGGUGUCUUCUCUAAUAAGGCAUCGAUGUUGAUGUGAUUAAGUAGUAAUGGCUUUCAGAUGCUGGGGCGCGGGGGUUCCCUAGUUUGAAGCUUCUCAAGGGGGAGUUUAAUUGAUUCAGCUCUGAUUGAUUGGCCUCGAUUUAACCUGCCCGCCUCAGCUGAGGGACAUUGUCAUGCCGUGUGAAUGCAAUGCUUGGAGUUCUCACCUGGUACAUCUUAGCCAUCUUAUGAAAUUUCAGGAUACCCAUGAUCUUCGUCCUUCAAGUGGUACUGGUGCUACAUGGCUGCUAGUGGCUCAGCUUUCCUUAGGGAACAUCAGUAAUGAAUAGUAAAAUAAUAAACACAGAUACAUUGGGAAUGUUGCUUUUAGAUAAGUUACAGCAUCCCGUAACUGAGUCUGGGCUUCUCAUUCUCUUUCUGAUGUGGACACUGGGUUUCAAAUCGCUCUCACUAGUUUCUAGAAUGAUCCUGGGAUGAGAUUCGGAACUUCCUGGAUGUGGGUUGCCAUCUCUAAAGUUUGCCUUUACUUCCACAUCAAAAUUCUCACUUACCUCUUGUGAAGAAGGAGGCAUUGGCCCAGAUUUUACAUUCCUAAUGGAGGUGCUUUCCUCGACAAAGAGCCUGGCUUACCCUAAAACUUUUGCCAAAGGCAAAGAAGAUAACAUAGACGCAUAGAGACUUUAUAUCACAGGUCACCGCUCCAUGACCUUGACUGUCUUCUCUUGUGAACUAUGAAAAACUCCUCAUCACUCCUAGGCAGAGGUCUACUGUGUGCAGCCAUUCCUCGAAUCACCCGAGGACUCAGUACCUAGCACCUGUUAUGCCAGGGCUCAAGCAAUCACUUGUACUGUAUCAAGAAUGGAGGUUCUGAAAGUGGACACAUGUCAGAAAAAUAUGUAUAUUUUCCAAACAAGUCAAAUGUUUCCAAAUAUUUUCCUAAACAGUAUCUUACAUUGAUUUGGUGUGUGGGGGCAUUCAGUUUUAACAUUUAAGAGCACCAAAAUUUGUUGUUUCUAAGUAUGUAUACAUAUUUAAAAAAAGCCAAAUUCUAUAUUGUUCGUCUUUCUAUCAACAGAAAUGUUUUUCCUGAGAAAGCAUUCCAUCAAAGAAGCAGAUGAGGCCAAAUACUCCUCCAGUUUCAAUUUUCUAGAGGUUAGAGCUAUAAUGUCAUCCCUAGUCCAUACUUCAUAGCCAGCUCUUUCCAUACAUUAUCAAGACAGAGUCUCACACUGGUUAUAAGAAUGGUUUAUUUGGCAGUUUUAAGAACCGAGUCUUGAAAGGCUGAACACCUGUGGGAAUCUGGCUGCCAGAGGUUUGCAGGUGUUCUGACUAAUGCUUUGAGAGACCAGCACUAGCAAUAACUUGCAGUUUUUCAGGUCUGUGAUGGAAAGAUUCUGCACCCUGGGUCUCUAAUCCUUGGUAUUUGGAGGUUACUUAAGAGGGAAAUGAAAGGGGAGGGAUAGAGCAUUCUCAGAGGUUAACCUUUGAACUCCGGGCCAGCCACAGUCAGUAGCAAAGGCACCUUGGUGGUUUUGCUCAAACCCUGAGCUUUCUUGCCUGUAGAAGCUGACAGAAUGCCAAUAUAAGGCCGACUGGCAUUCCUUGUUACUGAGGGGGGAAAAAAAGCUCAAAGGAAUGUUCUUUUUUCCUUUCAAAGAAGUAUCUACAAAUUAACAUUUUGGGGCAUAAAAAUAGUUUAUGAAGCUUGCAAAUUUUUCUGAAAAUAAAAAUUUGAAGAGCACUCUGGACAUUUGUGGCUUAGUCAGAAUAGUCACAAAAGGAGGAGAUGUGUAGCCCUGUCCUGUAGGGCUAGCUCCGAUUAUCAGCUGCCGGUCUCCUUCCUUCCCUAUGGUAGGACACAGCAUAUCCAGCUAUCCGGAGACAGACUAGCGACUGACAUUGUGUCUGUUUCAUUCUGGGUCCUCCCAGCGCUGUGCCCACCAUCUGGAAUACAAGAAUACUUCGUCACUAUGUUCAUCCGUGUGAAGGAAUAUAUUCGGGUCAGCCCAUCUGUGAUCUGUGUGUUGGAGAUCUGUUUAUAGGGAUAGAUGAUGCUGAACCACAUUAACUCUGGAGUUAGGAGCCAACUUGGGUAAAUUGAGAUCAUCCAAUGUGUGGAUCCCAAUGAUGAAGAAACAAGUAACCAAGUGGGUAACAUGGUAGCCACAGCUAGUGGGCUGUAAAAGACCGGAAGGAGGUCCCGGCUGAGUAACACGUGUGCAAGGCGAUCUUCUUUGCUUCAUGCCUUCUCUCCCAGGGCCAGGCAUCUUCAGGGUGUGCGCCACUGGUCACACAAAACCAGUGACCAAAUGAGGGCCGUUCUGCAUACAUUUAUCAUUAAAGCCCACAGAAGGAGCACGUGAGGGUGCGUGCCCUGCUGACUGCGGGUCAGAGAGUUCUUUCUGUAUCUCAGGGACAGAAGGUUCAAUAAAGAUUCAAGUAUGGAGACUACUUCACCCUCCAAGUGUGCCAAACUGUGUCAGCCAGAAAACUGCUCCUUAGGGGAUACGAUUUCCUCCUUUCCCUAAAUUAAAAAAAUGAACUGUGGACUCUAAAACAAUACAUGUUAUUAUCAUAGAGAGAGCAAAGAGUAAAUAAAGACACUUGCUUAAUGAAAUAACAGUUCAUUUUAACUUAAUGGAAGUCAUUUUUUUCUGUGCUUCGUUAUGGAAAUAGGCCACAGUCGGUUUUUCUGCCAUUCUUCAUAACCUUGUAUUAUGCUUCCUGUUUAUGCUCCUAAGAGCUGUCUUUAAAGAGCCUUAAGGGACAUCCUUUAAUACUUUCCCUUUAACAUAAUUAUUCAUCUAUAUCACACCCCCUUAGAAUGUUUGAGGAUUCGGAGAUAUAGAAAGUUCUUAAUGAGAUGUGGUUAAUGAUCUGUGCAAGGUAUCACCUGGCUUAGCUAACAUAAAUUAUAUUUAAUUAGUCAUUCUACAGAAGAACACACCUCAGAAUAGAUUGAGUGCCUAAAACACAGUUUGCUUUUUAUGUUUAGUAGUCAUAAAUAAGAUUCUCUUUACAAUUUUUAUUAUGUAUCUUUAUGUGUAUGGGCAUUUUGCCUGCAUGUGUGUCUGUGCACCACAUGUGCGCGGUGCCUGCAGAGGCCAAAACGGUGUCAGAUGCCCUGGGACUGGAGUUACAAUUGGUUACCAGUGCUCUUAACCACCAAGCCAUCUCAGCCCCACAAAUAAGUUUCUAUGGGUACUAUUUUGGGAUUUUAAGGGCUUGUUUGGGAGCUGGGGUGACAGGCAGUGGAGUAAUUUGCCUUAUAAUCAUGAAAAGUUGAAUUUAAUCCUGAAAACCCAAAUAAAACAGCCAGGUGUGUGGUUCGUGCUUGACUUAGUGGACAGGCAAAGCCUGAGGCUCAUUGGUCAAUAAGCCCAUUUGCUGAACUCCAGGCCAAAUAGAGACUCUGUCUC
Molecule: long non-coding RNA, 3419 nt
Filed under: Mus musculus (house mouse)
Lineage: Eukaryota; Metazoa; Chordata; Mammalia; Rodentia; Muridae
Description: long non-coding RNA chr1:57803218-57806637
Source: RNAcentral